AACGAUGAUCCGGUGCUUGCACCGGGGAUUAGUGGCGAACGGGUGAGUAACACGUGAGUAACCUGCCCUUGACUCUGGGAUAAGCCUGGGAAACCGGGUCUAAUACCGGAUACGACCUUUCACCGCAUGGUGGUUGGUGGAAAGAUUUUUUGGUUUUGGAUGGACUCGCGGCCUAUCAGCUUGUUGGUGAGGUAAUGGCUCACCAAGGCGACGACGGGUAGCCGGCCUGAGAGGGUGACCGGCCACACUGGGACUGAGACACGGCCCAGACUCCUACGGGAGGCAGCAGUGGGGAAUAUUGCACAAUGGGCGAAAGCCUGAUGCAGCGACGCCGCGUGAGGGAUGACGGCCUUCGGGUUGUAAACCUCUUUCAGCAGGGAAGAAGCGAAAGUGACGGUACCUGCAGAAGAAGCGCCGGCUAACUACGUGCCAGCAGCCGCGGUAAUACGUAGGGCGCAAGCGUUGUCCGGAAUUAUUGGGCGUAAAGAGCUCGUAGGCGGUUUGUCGCGUCUGCUGUGAAAGCCCGGGGCUCAACCCCGGGUCUGCAGUGGGUACGGGCAGACUAGAGUGCAGUAGGGGAGACUGGAAUUCCUGGUGUAGCGGUGAAAUGCGCAGAUAUCAGGAGGAACACCGAUGGCGAAGGCAGGUCUCUGGGCUGUAACUGACGCUGAGGAGCGAAAGCAUGGGGAGCGAACAGGAUUAGAUACCCUGGUAGUCCAUGCCGUAAACGUUGGGCACUAGGUGUGGGGGACAUUCCACGUUUUCCGCGCCG
RNAcentral lists this ribosomal RNA (772 nucleotides) under bacterium. Its description in RNAcentral is "bacterial SSU rRNA". It matches the Rfam family "Bacterial small subunit ribosomal RNA", at positions 65 to 848 of the family's 1533-position model. The record is from RNAcentral.